AGUUGAUUCGAGCGUUCUAACCACACAACAGCAGUCAAGCACCCAAAGCUAGCUACUUCCAGACACAAAUUAGAGAACACUUCACUCUGAUCAUUUUACUUUACUCGCCCUAGCAGAGGCUAGGGCUGUUGUCAUGUUAUCCAGAGCGCUGGUGUCUGUAACUAUGCUGCUGGCAACCAUUUAAUUGUGUUUUUUUGCCGACGUUUACUGAUACCGGCCAUAUUCUACGGGUGUUGAGCAUUCGUAAAUUUAUCAUUUACUCUGAAAUUGGAUUAAAUAGCCAGAGCGAAUAUACGAACGCACCCUACAUGAACAGCUGAGCAUGCGUGAACUCCUUGAAGGUUCAUUAUGUUUUAGCAAUAUCCCAAGUUACCACAGGAACAAAGUAAAAAUGGCCGUAAAAAUAUAUGAAAACUAAAAACAGCUUUUUGGUCUUACGGGUACAGUUAGGCAUAAUAUUAGCACUGUGGUUAUGAUUAUAUUUCAAUAAGAUAAAUAGGCGGGGUUUAGUCAUAAAUAUGACUUUGUGGCUGUGGUAAUGAGCGGAGACUCGACAUUUUUUUUUGACGGUGUAGUUGCUGGUUAUUAUCACAAAUUAUCCCUAUUUUAAGUAUCUUAACUAAUAUGAGGUAGAUAGCAAGCUCGUUUUGCAGUUAAAUUGGAAGCGAACGCAACUACAAUCCCAGCUAUAAGCUGCCUGCCUCUUUGUAGAGUUACUGUGACAAAUGCUGAUGUCAAAAUGGCUUUAUAAAUACAUUUCAUUGAUAGAGAGACAUCUGAGACAGCUCAGACUUGCUGGACACACCGCUCUCUGGCAUCAUUUACAAAAUAGUCUCUAACACUCUACUCAGCAAACCGUAUGUAGUCUAUCACAAGGCCAUCCGUUUUGUCACCAAAGCCCCAUAUACUACCCACCACUGCGACGUGUAUGCUCUAGUUGGCUGGCCCUCACUACAUAUUCGUCGCCAAACCCACUGGCUCCAGGUCAUCUGUAAGUCUUUGCUAGGUAAAUAUUCGCCUUAUCUGAGUUCACUGGUCACCAUAGCAACACCCACCCGAUUUCUCUUCUAUUAUGUUAUUGACUAAGUUUGUUUAUGUGUAACUCUGUAUUGUUGUUUUUGUCACACUGCUUUGCUUUAUCUUGGCCAGGUCGCAGUUGUAAAUGAGAACUUGUUCUCAACUGGCCUACCUGGUUAAAUAAAGGUGACAUUUGUUUUUGCAUGACCCGACUGAGGAAAACAGCCGGAGGCAUGUUGAUGUCACAGACCUGCAGGGGGGCUCUCAUCAGCGUUGUUAGCGCUUGUGCAGAGGAGCUAGAUGGCUUUCCAGUUAUUCUAGUAUGUGGUGCUAAGAAUGUUGGGAAGUCCACCUUCAACCGCCGCUUCAUCAGUACCUUACUAAACCACACUGCAAGUGUAGAAUACCUGGAGUGUGACCUGGGCCAGACAGAGUUCACUCCCUCAGGUUGUCUCUCCCAGUCUACUGUUAGAGAGCCACUGCUGGAACCACGAUUACACAUGGUGGACUGGAAGAAACUUUUUCUUUUAACGAGUCCAACGAGAAGGAUAUACUGCUUUCACUGGAACAGGCACAGAUCCCCGUAAUUGGCUUGAAGAAAAGACACAGGAAAAGGGGCCGCGGAUUGGGGUGCCUUCUGAGAAUCCGUAGGCGAGCAGGUUUUGGCUUUCAGUUGCUGGUGGACAUCAUUUGCCUCUGCUCCGUCUCUCAGGUGGGGCAGCUCAGUAGUGGGGAUAAAGUCAUGUGCCCCCAACUCACCCCUGUGUUCCUGAGGCUGGCAGACACACCCUCCUGCCCAGUCAGCCCUGGGGGAGGACAACUCUGAAUCCCAUCCUCUCCAGUGGAGAUACUCUAUUCAGUAUUCACCCAGAGUUUGAAGGAGUGGGGCGCCCAAGCGAAAUGAGACACCAGUGUAGCAAUGAGCAGUGUGACCUGGCUCUGCUGGGCUACUUCAGCCAGCUGCAGUCCCCUAAACCAGGCUCCGUCAGACCCCUGCACGGCUUCACCCCCUACCAGCAGUGGCGGUGGGUGUGAUGCACUGUGAGGUAGCACCAGCUCAUGUGCUCUACGCUGCCAAUGCCAGUGGUGAGGCUGUUCUUUCUGAAUGAGAAGGUAUCAGGCAGGGGAGGCCCAGUUCUACUCUCUCAAACCCCUGUCUGUCCCUGUAUGGGAUUUGCAGGUGUCCUUUGGGGGUGUGGACACGUGGCCUGUACACCUGUAGCUCCCUCAGUCCUCCGUCAGGUCAACGGUCUUCUGUUGGGUGCUGUCACACUGCCCAACAGCCUCCUCACAGGACAGACAGGAAUUGUGGGAGAGCCUCCCUACGUCACAAUAGACUACAACUUUGAGCUAACCGGGACUGGGAAGAUUCAAGGGGCUUGCAAGACCUGACCAGAUGAAUAACGCAAAGUGAUUGUUUUUGUGAGAAGAGACUAUGGUUUCACAGCAAGAAAUCUGAAAUCUGAAUAUUUUUUACCUUCCUUGUUUACUGACUUCAAACACCAAGGCCAGAGUCUCUCUUUCCCUUGCUUUCUCUUAUCGCUCCUGUUUCAUCAGAAGUUGGAAAUAGGCCUAAAUAAAACAAUUUCAGGUCUUUUGUUUCUUCGGUGUAAGAUCUUUUCUUGUCCUGAAGAGGGCAUUUUAAGUAACCUCAUACAUUCAUACCAGAGUGGUUCAUACAGUAAAGGAGUAUAUACAAGGUUUGUUGCCUUUUGGUGCCCUGAAGAGGGCAGUGUUGUUCAGGUUUAUAUUUCAAGUUUAUCAAGCCGAGCUCGUACAGUUAGUUGUAUCGUAAAUGAGAUUUUAUAGGCUGCUGCACAAGAUUGUGUGUAUGGAUGGACACAGUUUCGGAGCAUCAUGACGAACGCACACAUUUUGUUGUCUGCGCGGACAUGUUUCAAGUUUUAUUAGUCGUAUGUACAGGACACAUGGUAUGCACCGUCCAAACUAAAUGCAUACUUGCAGGUUCCUUCUUGACAAUACAACAAUAAGAAAUAAUAAACUAAGAAUACGAACAUAAAGUAAAUGGCUCAGUAGAAUAGAAUAAACAUCUUAGCAUAAGUAUAAUACAUUAAGGCACAAUUUAAAGUCCAAUAUUUACACGUGUUUUGGGAAGGGGGAUUGGGGGCAAGUGUUUAAAUUGUGCAGUAUUUAGCAAUCAUAAGUCUGUUAGAAACAGUUGUGAUGUGUGUAGCAUGAAUGUCUGCAUUUACACAAGCAGCCAAAUGUAGAUUUUUUUCCCCCACUAAUUGGUCUUUUGACCAAUCACAUGAGAUCUUUUCACAUCAGAUUUUUUUCAGAGCUGAUCUGAUUGGUCGAAAGACCAAUUAGUUAAAAAAAAAAAAAAAUUGGUCUGCCUGUGUAAACGCAGUGUGUGUGUGUAUAUACAGUGGGGAGAACAAGUACUUGAUACACUGCCGAUUUUGCAGGUUUUCCUACUUACAAAGCAUGUAGAGGUCUGUAAUUUUUAUCAUAGGUACAUUUCAACUGUGAGAGACGGAAUCUAAAACAAAAAUCCAGAAAAUUGUAUGAUUGUAUGAUUUUUAAGUAAUUGAUAUCACAUUUACCUAAGUAUUCAGACCCUUUAGUCAAUACUGUGUUGAAGCACCUUGGCAGCAAUUACAGCCUUGGGUUUUCUUGGGUAUGACACUACAAGCUUGGCACACCUGUGUUUGGGGAGUUUCUCCCAUUCUUCUCUGCAGAUCCUCUCAAGCUCUGUCAGGUUGGAUGGGGAGCGUCGCUGCACAGCUAUUUUCAGGUCUCUCUAUAGUUGUUUAACCGGGCUCUGGCUGGCCUACUAAAGGACAUUGAGACUUGUCUCGAAGCCAGUCCUGUGUUGUCUUGGUUUGUGUGCUUAUGAUCGUUGUCCUGUGAACCUUCGCCUCAAAUCAAAGUUUAUUGGUCACAUACACAUGUUUAGCAGAUGUUAUUGUGAGUGUAGGGAAAUGCUUGUGCUUCUAGUUCCGACAGUGCAGCAAUAUCUGACAUGUCAUAUAACAAUUCCACAAUAACUACCUAAUACACACAAAUCUAAGUA
Molecule: long non-coding RNA, 4054 nt
Organism: Oncorhynchus keta (chum salmon)
Lineage: Eukaryota; Metazoa; Chordata; Actinopteri; Salmoniformes; Salmonidae
Exons: 9
Source: RefSeq, a predicted model, not a curated record